Molecule: long non-coding RNA, 368 nt
Filed under: Sarcophilus harrisii (Tasmanian devil)
Lineage: Eukaryota; Metazoa; Chordata; Mammalia; Dasyuromorphia; Dasyuridae
Description: lncRNA (ENSSHAG00000025321.1)
Source: RNAcentral
GGAUGUCAGAUGCAGGUUCUAAGUACGUUGUGCUCUAGGUGCCGGACCGACCGACUGCGGUGGGCGCGGGUCCUUAAAUUUGCCUUUCUGGAGCUUUCAGCAGUUUAUGCUGCUAUUCGUAAUAAUGUCAUUGAUGGGAAGCACUUGUACAAGAGAAUCCUAUGAAUAAUACUAAAACUAGAAACUCUGUAUUAGGAAAUUGGGAUGCUGUGAGGUUGGUCAGGAAAGAACGAUGCAUAAUUUGACUUGUGCAAGGAUCAAGGAGAGCCAGAAAGGAUCUUAAAGGUAAUGUAGUAUCUAGAAGUGGAAGGAAUGGCCAGAAUGAAAGAAAGACUGGACUGAGUGCAUAAACAACAGCAACAAGAGCC